GCCGAAGUGGCGGAACUGGUAGACGCGCAUGGUUCAGGACCAUGUCCCGCUUGCGGGAUGAGGGUUCGAGUCCCUCCUUCGGCACCA
This 87-nucleotide transfer RNA is filed under the name bacterium. Its description in RNAcentral is "tRNA-Leu". It matches the Rfam family "tRNA". Rfam says of the family: Transfer RNA (tRNA) molecules are approximately 80 nucleotides in length. RNAcentral also lists the same sequence under 3 other names. The record is from RNAcentral.